This 131-nucleotide ribosomal RNA is filed under the name Lepechiniella microcarpa subsp. inconspicua. Its description in RNAcentral is "5.8S ribosomal RNA". The stretch from base 1 to 89 matches the Rfam family "5.8S ribosomal RNA", at positions 68 to 154 of the family's 154-position model. From Rfam's summary of the family: 5.8S ribosomal RNA (5.8S rRNA) is a component of the large subunit of the eukaryotic ribosome. Lineage: Eukaryota; Viridiplantae; Streptophyta; Magnoliopsida; Boraginales; Boraginaceae. The record is from RNAcentral.
UGAAUUGCAGAAUCCCGUGAACCAUCGAGUCUUUGAACGCAAGUUGCGCCUGAGGCCAUUAGGCUAAGGGCACGUCUGCCUGGGCGUCACGCAUCGMGCACCCCUCCCCCAAUUCUGGUGUGGAUGGGGUG